This 75-nucleotide small RNA is filed under the name Pedobacter sp. Hv1. Its description in RNAcentral is "Flavo-1 RNA". It matches the Rfam family "Flavo-1 RNA". The record is from Rfam by way of RNAcentral. Lineage: Bacteria; Pseudomonadati; Bacteroidota; Sphingobacteriia; Sphingobacteriales; Sphingobacteriaceae.
GGUUAAACGGGAUUGAAAUGAAAAUCCUUUUUGUUGCGCAGCAGAAAAAGAUUGGAAUGUAAAGCCCGAGUCACU